RNAcentral lists this ribosomal RNA (443 nucleotides) under uncultured bacterium. RNAcentral describes it as "partial 16S ribosomal RNA". It matches the Rfam family "Bacterial small subunit ribosomal RNA", at positions 338 to 795 of the family's 1533-position model. The record is from RNAcentral.
CCUACGGGAGGCAGCAGUGAGGAAUAUUGGUCAAUGGCCGUAACGCUGAACCAGCCACGCCGCGUGAAGGAUGAAGGUUCUAUGAUUUGUAAACUUUUUUUUACAGGGAGGAGCAGAAGACGGUACCUGACGAAUAAGCCACGGCUAACUACGUGCCAGCAGCCGCGGUAAUACGUAGGUGGCAAGCGUUGUCCGGAUUUACUGGGUGUAAAGGGCGUGUAGCCGGGCUGACAAGUCAGAUGUGAAAUCCGGGGGCUCAACCCCCGAACUGCAUUUGAAACUGUUGGUCUUGAGUGUCGGAGAGGCAGGCGGAAUUCCUAGUGUAGCGGUGAAAUGCGUAGAUAUUAGGAGGAACACCAGUGGCGAAGGCGGCCUGCUGGACGACAACUGACGGUGAGGCGCGAAAGCGUGGGGAGCAAACAGGAUUAGAUACCCGUGUAGUC